Molecule: ribosomal RNA, 433 nt
Filed under: uncultured bacterium
Lineage: Bacteria
Description: partial 16S ribosomal RNA
Rfam family: Bacterial small subunit ribosomal RNA
Source: RNAcentral
AACGAACGCUGGCGGCAUGCCUAACACAUGCAAGUCGAACGAGACCUUCGGGUCUAGUGGCGCACGGGUGCGUAACGCGUGGGAACCUGCCCUUAGGUUCGGAAUAACUCCCCGAAAGGGGUGCUAAUACCGGAUAAUGUCUUCGGACCAAAGAUUUAUCGCCUUUGGAUGGGCCCGCGUUGGAUUAGCUGGUUGGUAGGGUAAAAGCCUACCAAGGCGACGAUCCAUAGCUGGUCUGAGAGGAUGAUCAGCCACACUGGGACUGAGACACGGCCCAGACUCCUACGGGAGGCAGCAGUGGGGAAUAUUGGACAAUGGGCGAAAGCCUGAUCCAGCAAUGCCGCGUGAGUGAUGAAGGCCUUAGGGUUGUAAAGCUCUUUUAACCGGGAUGAUAAUGACAGUACCGGGAGAAUAAGCUCCGGCUAACUCCGUG